Long non-coding RNA from Panicum virgatum (switchgrass), 3549 nucleotides. RefSeq lists it as uncharacterized. Lineage: Eukaryota; Viridiplantae; Streptophyta; Magnoliopsida; Poales; Poaceae. The transcript has 3 exons. The record is from RefSeq and is a predicted model, not a curated record.
CCGUUCCACGGCCGACUCCCGCACGCCGCCGACUCCGUGCCGUCGCCCUCGCCUGGCGAUCGCGGGCCGCCUCCUGGACACCGCGCGUCCGCCCCUCCAGCACGCCUUCCUUCCCUCCGGGCUGCUCUGGCCGGCCUCGAGGACCCCGCCUCCCUCCGCGCUCCCUGCGGCUUCAUCCAGCAAGCGGCUGCUCCGGCCGGCGUCGAGGACGCCGCCUCCCUCCGAGCUGCUGCCGGCGUCCCCCCGGCGAUCGACCGCCCCACGUUCCCUGCAAUAUCACCUGGUACCCACUCAUCCAUUCAUUAAUUUGCAUUCUGAACCCUAAAAUCAGUGAUGCCUAAUUUGCUUCUCCAUGAUUGUCAUAUAGUACAGUUAAUAUUUGCUAAUUAUUGUUCAAUUGCAUUUUUGUUGCAAUUCUUUCCUAUCACAUGUAAUUUGCUAUUCCCCCGCACCGCCCAUGGUAAUUGCACCUGUGCAUUACUAGCGUUUUGACCAUGUUUUGACUAGCGUGUUUAAUUAGACAAAAAAAAUACAGUUCACUAUGCCUAACAGAUAGCAUGCAAACUUCAAGUUUUAUUUGUCAUUUGCACAUUUCUGUGAGUAUGCAUCUAUGCGUCCUAGAGAAUAGAGACCCUUAAUCAGUGUUUCAUGUGUAAGUUAAACACUUUGCAUGUCCUCACAUAUAAAUUUAGGAGCAGGUAGAGAUAGAACGAACGCAGCUAAGAAAAGAGCAUUGCCUCAAAUGAAUUGGUCCGUAAAAAAUAAUGGUACUGAUGAAUCCAUCGGUUAACAUGAAUGGACCUGAGAACCAAUUUCAUAUGACAGUGAAUCCAUCAACUUAUGAAAACGUGUGCCACUAUAUAGUGUCCAUGUAGAUUGGUAUGUGAUUUUGUUUUUCACUCUACGCCUGCUAUAAUUUCUUGCUGAGUACUCUGACUUGCUCCAGUCGAAACAUUCAUCUCGCGUAUUCACAAUUGCACAAUUGCAGAAAUACUUGCGGAUACCUUCACAAGUGCACAAUUGCAGAAUUACUAGCGUUAAACCAUUUACAUGUAAAUUGUUUGAUGUCAUAAAAUAGUUUGAAGAAAAGCAGCAAACAACAUAUUCGCUCUAGUAAAUGAGCACUCUGUUUGAAAUUUAGACCUCCAAAUGUAAUGUCAUCUCUGUCCAGAUAGGGCUGGGCAAGCUCAUUUUGCAUGAUAUUACUGUUGUUGGUUUUCAUGUUCAUUGUGCCUUACUCAAGAAUAAAAUAUAUCCCAAUUAACUUGCGCGAGAAGAUAGUUCCCUAUGAUAACAUACCGCAACAAACCGACGGGUACUCUUUUUCUAUUUUAUAUUAAUGUUUUACUACAAUGACUUAUGUUUAUGUUCCAUUGCAUAAUUUCAUGUGGGGCAUAUGUAAUAAAAUAUAUACUGGCAUGGGACAGAGAUCGUAUGGGAUUUCACACCGGUGAGUCACAGAAAUUUUGUCACUUCCAAUUUGCCCCUGCAUGGAGUAAAUGCUCUGUCCUCGCUGCAGCUCCAAUCACGGUGCCAUGCAAAAAAAUGUGUCGCGGCCAGGAGUUGAUCCUGCGACCUUGCACUCCGGGAUGCGCUUCUCUAACUAAUCGAGUUGCUUGCGUAUUGAUAAUAAUACUGCACCCGCGUCACUAAUUAAUAGAUGCCAAUUAUGAUUAAGAAAUAAAUACCAUGGCCUCAUACAUAAGUACUAGCACAGUGGUAAGGUCGCUCUCUAAAAAAGUCAUUCCUUGUGUUCGAAUCUCCCCAGUGUUAACUUUUUCCCCUUUUUUUUACAAUAGUGAUUGCUCAAAUAAUUAAAAUAAUGCGCCAUAUUUUUAUUUCUUUUUAUGCAAUAGUGAUUGUUCAACUAAUAAAAAUAACGCCCUCUAUAUCAUGACUUAAUGCAUUACCCAUUUUUUUCAAGUUUAAAAUAUCCCUACCCUCGUGUUACGUAAACGGUCUAUACGUCCAUUGAUCAGACGAGACGGGAGAGUGUAGGUUGAGUAGCUGUCGUGCUACGAGUACUAGUCUAGCUACUCAGACGAGACAUGAGAGUGAUCAAUUGACUUUGUUAUCGUCUUAAUAGCCUGUUAGUGAGUCUUCAUUGAGUGAUCAUCAAACCGAGUGAUCAUCAAACCGAAGUUUACCCAACGCCAAUCCUUUCGUUUCUCAUAUAUGAAUGUUUUAUGACCAAAAAUAACAAAUUUAUCCCGACAACUGGACCAUGAUUCCCAACAUGAAUAAUAACUUCUUGAAAGCCACGUGUAUUGGAGUGAUCUCAAAUAUAUAGGGGUAUUCAUAAAGAUUCUUAAGGCCACAGAUAGAGUUGCAAGGAUCAAAACCAUAUGUAUGCACAAGGUUUAUAACACUCUAAGUUUCAAAUUUUGAUAUUAAAUAAUAUAUUUACAAAAUUGUUUGAUUUCAAAAUUGUUUGAAUUGAUUUUGGAAUUAUAAUUCAAAGGAAAAAAUGGCAAAACGUAUCUUCUCUCGUGGGCCGUCGGCCCAGCUGGCCCAGCCGCCCUCCCUCUCUUCCCUCCGAUCCAUCUCCAACCCCCGCGCAGUUUCCUCCCUCCAAUCCCGCUGCCGCCACCUCUCUUCCCCCCGAACGAAUCCAUCUCUUCCCUUCCAAUCCCGCCGCCGCGCCAGGGUUCCUGAUGCCCCCUCGACGUCCGCGUCGCACCCCUAUAAAUAUGAGACCUGCGCCGCCCCCUCUCGCUUUCUGCACGCGCAAUCCUCAGCAGGCACCGCGCGCUUCCCAAACCCUAGCCGCCGGGCCGCCCUUGGAGCCGACCUCCAAGCCACCCGCGCCGCCGCCGCCGUCCGCAGUCCACGCCAAGAUUCGAUGCCAAAGAACACCGGGACGACCAGCAAGACCUCGGAAGGAGCGCCUCCGGCCGCUCGUUGUCGUCCACCGUCGCUCCUGGCGUCGUGCUCGCGUCGCCGAACUCCAGCCAUCUUGAGUCGUCCCGGGCCGUCCUGAUGAAGCCAGGAAAAGCACCUGCUGCGAAGAAGAUCGUCGGGGGCGUCAAGGUGUCCUUGCCUGCAAAGAAGGAGCGCCCUUUCCAAUUCAAAGAAGAACGAAGUGGGGAUUCGAGUUCGAGCUCCGAUGAUGACGUGUUAGAAGAACAGUUACCGUAGAGCCGACUCAUUAUUGAACUGAUGAUCGAUGAGCUCAAAGAUCAGAUCGAUGCCAUGGAAAGGGACAUCGAAAACCUCAAAAAGAUGGUGGGGAGAGUGGCUAAGGCGAUCCAGAAGCUCUACAAGCUAGUCGAAGCCAACAUUGCCGAUAUUUAGAAGCAUUACAAGCCAUGCUUAAUUUGAUUUAAUUUCCUUGUGGCUACGUUCAUGAAGUUUCUGAAUAAUGUGCCCAGACUUGUAUGGAUGCUCCUGUUAUCAUCAGAAUCUUUGUAUGGAUGGUGUCUUUUUUUUUACCUUGGGUAACAUAAUUAUGCAAUUAUCAUGACUUCUUCCAUUGAAACACUUUCUGGGAGAUACACCAUGUAUAUGCAGGUUGCCACACUUUUUUAGUUCAAAAUAGUUUCAGUCAAA